This 396-nucleotide ribosomal RNA is filed under the name Triticum aestivum (bread wheat). RNAcentral describes it as "partial small subunit ribosomal RNA". Lineage: Eukaryota; Viridiplantae; Streptophyta; Magnoliopsida; Poales; Poaceae. The record is from RNAcentral.
AUGUCGUGGCAGACUUACGUGGACGAGCACCUGAUGUGCGACAUCGAGGGCCACCACCUCGCCUCCGCCGCCAUCCUCGGCCACGACGGCACCGUCUGGGCCCAGAGCGCCGACUUCCCGUCGUUCAAGCCGGAGGAGAUGACCAACAUCAUGAAGGACUUCGACGAGCCGGGGACCCUCGCCCCGACCGGGCUGCUACUCGGAGCCGCCAAGUACAUGGUCAUCCAGGGUGAACCUGGCGCCGUCAUCCGCGGCAAGAAGGGCGCGGGAGGCAUCACCCUGAAGAAGACCGGGCAGGCGCUGGUGGUCGGCAUCUACGACGAGCCCAUGACCCCGGGGCAGUGCAACCUGGUGGUGGAGAGGCUGGGCGACUACCUGGUAGAGCAGGGCAUGUAG